GACGAACGCUGGCGGCGUGCUUAACACAUGCAAGUCGAACGGAAAGGCCCCUUUGGGGGUACUCGAGUGGCGAACGGGUGAGUAACACGUGAGUAACCUGCCCUUGACUUCGGGAUAACUUCAGGAAACUGGGGCUAAUACCGGAUAGGAAUCCUUGCUGCAUGGUGGGGGUUGGAAAGCUUCGGCGGUUUUGGAUGGACUCGCGGCUUAUCAGCUUGUUGGUGGGGUAGUGGCUUACCAAGGCUUUGACGGGUAGCCGGCCUGAGAGGGCGACCGGCCACAAUGGGACUGGGAUACGGCCCAGACUCCUACGGGAGGCAGCAGUGGGGAAUAUUGCACAAUGGGCGGAAGCCUGAUGCAGCAACGCCGCGUGCGGGAUGACGGCCUUCGGGUUGUAAACCGCUUUCAGCAGGGGCGAAGCUUGUGGUGACGGUACCUGCAGAAGAAGCACCGGCUAACUACGUG
This 465-nucleotide ribosomal RNA is filed under the name uncultured bacterium. RNAcentral's name for it is "partial 16S ribosomal RNA". It matches the Rfam family "Bacterial small subunit ribosomal RNA", at positions 28 to 507 of the family's 1533-position model. The record is from RNAcentral.